RNAcentral lists this ribosomal RNA (254 nucleotides) under uncultured bacterium. Its description in RNAcentral is "partial 16S ribosomal RNA". It matches the Rfam family "Bacterial small subunit ribosomal RNA", at positions 524 to 777 of the family's 1533-position model. The record is from RNAcentral.
UACAGAGGGGGCAAGCGUUGUUCGGAAUUACUGGGCGUAAAGGGCGCGUAGGCGGCCUGUUAAGUCGAACGUGGAAUCCCCGGGCUCAACCCGGGAACUGCGUCCGAUACUGGCAGGCUUGAAUCCGGGAGAGGGAUGCGGAAUUCCAGGUGUAGCGGUGAAAUGCGUAGAUAUCUGGAGGAACACCGGUGGCGAAGGCGGCAUCCUGGACCGGUAUUGACGCUGAGGCGCGAAAGCCAGGGGAGCAAACGGGG